This 300-nucleotide long non-coding RNA is filed under the name Bos taurus (domestic cattle). RNAcentral's name for it is "long non-coding RNA NONBTAT021992". Lineage: Eukaryota; Metazoa; Chordata; Mammalia; Artiodactyla; Bovidae. The record is from RNAcentral.
UUAAUUGUUAAAAUUCUAGUUCUUCAGAGGAUUUGAGGUACUCUGUUCACACUCAAUCAUUCGGCUUUUUUUCCUGAGAACAUGGAAACAAAGGUACAGGAGUUUAGAGGUACAUAGAUCAAGUGAAUAUUUUCAUAUCUGGUUUUAAGUAUCUAUGUCCUGUUAACUUCUAAGAUAAAUGGCAAAAUAAAGUGAAGUUUUCAAGUUGAGAUUCUUACAUGCUGAAGUUUGCAUUCAAAAGGAUAAUUUUAAUUUACUAAGGCAGUGUGAUAAUGUGAUGUUUUACAUUUUAAAAUUAAA